RNAcentral lists this ribosomal RNA (484 nucleotides) under uncultured bacterium. Its description in RNAcentral is "partial 16S ribosomal RNA". It matches the Rfam family "Bacterial small subunit ribosomal RNA", at positions 29 to 523 of the family's 1533-position model. The record is from RNAcentral.
AGUGAACGCUGGCGGCGUGCUUAACACAUGCAAGUCGAACGAGAACGGGCUAUAGCUUGCUAUAGUUGUCAGCUAAGUGGCGCACGGGUGAGUAAUGUAUAGGUAAUAUGCCUCUUACUAAGGGAUAACAAAUGGAAACGUUUGCUAAUACCUUAUACUCCUUAUUAACAGAAGUUAAUCAGGGAAAGAUUUAUUGGUAAGAGAUUAGCCUGUAUUGUAUCAGUUAGUUGGCGGGGUAAUGGCUUACCAAGACUAUGACACAUAACUGGUUUGAGAGGAUGAUCAGUCACACUGGAACUGAGACACGGUCCAGACUCCUACGGGAGGCAGCAGUGGGGAAUAUUGCACAAUGGACGAAAGUCUGAUGCAGCAACGCCGCGUGGAGGAUGACACAUUUCGGUGCGUAAACUCCUUUUAUAUGAGAAGAUAAUGACGGUAUUAUAUGAAUAAGCACCGGCUAACUCCGUGCCAGCCGCCGCAGUAA